UCGCCUCAUGUUCGCCUCUUUCACUUUUUCUAAGGUUCUCUAUUGCCCGCUUCUUCUUGUUCACUUCUUCUUGUUGUUCUCCUCCUCCAAUCGUUGCAGCCCGCGUUAGAAAUGGCACCACACACCAGAACACAUGUUAGAAAUACAGGAUAUAGAGAACAAACUGAAGUUGAAAUAGAUGUUCCAACAAAUACCAUCGAAAAUUAUGUUGCAGUAGGUACAAGCAAUGAGGACCAAAAACAAAAACGAGGUCCAACACAUAUGUGUAGUAUUUGGGGAUAUCAUGAUACCCGACAUGGAACUAUUGCUCGGAAUGGGAAAUCUGCACCUAUUGAUAUAAGAAGUUGGGAUCAAAUGCCAAAGUCUUUAAAAAAAUAUGUUAGAAGUUGUUCAGGAGAAAUUUGAGAUUACUCGUGCUAGUGAUGUAUGGGUUCUUCAAUCAAUUGGGAAGAAAUGGAGGAAUUGGAAAGCAGACUUUAAAUCUUGAUAUUAUGAUCCAAAUAUGCCUACAUAAUUACAACUAUGUAAUGUGCCAAGAAGGAUACUCAAAGAUCAAUGGAAAAAUCUUCUUUCAUAUUGGAAUUCAGAAGAAUCAAAGACACAAAUGUGAGUGGAGAUGUCUUUUGAGGAUCAAGCAGUGAGAGGAAUUUGGAGGAAGCUUAAAGUGGAGAUCUCUGAUGGCUGUGCAUUUAAACUAUUUUAAGUUUCUCUCCAUGGUUGCCUUUAUUUACGAAGCCUGAGGUUCUUCUGUUGCAAAGGAUCGGUUUAAUGUCUUUAACUCGACAAUGAUGAAAGUUGUUAUUAUUGAUCCAUUCCCUAUGACGACCAUUUCUGCAACCAGCUUUUAUGGAAGGUAGUUUUUCUGCAACCUGACUUCUAGGAAGGCAGUUUUGGCAACUUUGGGAAAUUUUAUCUGAUGUGCAAUUUGGUUUGGUAUUUAGUUUGCAUCUUUUGCAUUUUGAAUCCAGCUUAGUUGGUUUUUGUUAUUACUUUUUUCACCUAUGAUUGUGCAGUAGCACUUGUGCCGAGUUAAGUUUUAUUAAACUGUUUAGUUGUUGGGAGAUAUGGUGAUUGAUUCCUUAGAAUGCAGACCAUGCUUUAAUUUUUUUUUUUUUUUUUUGAAACAGUGGAAAAUAUACAAUCUUAAUGCACAAGUGAUUUAUUGCAUGGAUGUUAUUUGUAACCUAAUUUACUUGGGAAGAAAAGCUUCCAUGGCUAAAAUGUUCACACACAAUAUUGAGACAUAUAAAGAACCAAACUGUUUACUGAGAACAUUUUAUUAAGUAAAAGCCUUCAAAUUCUUGCUAGUAGUUGAUAGAUUAUCACUAAAACACCAAAUAGGCAGAAAUCCCUAGGCCCAAAUUGAUUUAUGAUUUCACUAACAAGUAACAAUUUAUAUUGACUGUCUUUGUUUAUUGAGAUUUAUGGAUUUAGGUAAACCUUACAGAAUAUGCUGAGAAACACAAAGCAAACAUGUUUUACUUAUGGACAAACAGGUAAGUACUUAUGUUUGUGCAACACUUUGUUUAGGGUUUUAUAUUUAAGACUUCUUUAUAUUUUUAUUGAACCAAAAAAAUAUUUUAGUUGACUAUAAAAUUGUUGUACUUCUUUUUAUUAUUUUUCAAAUUUUAUUCUACUACUCCCUUAAUUGUUCCUUCUCAAGCAAUUCUUUAGCGGCCUCUGUAAUUCAGUCCAAGAAAAGUUCUGAUGUUGUUUAAACAUGGAUAUUCCAGCAUUUAUGUUCAGAGAACUGGAUAGAAACGUGAUGGUUGUGGAAUAUUUUUCAAGCAUAAAAGAAUGUGCCACUUGCUUUACUAGUUCAGUUUAUGAGGGAGCAUCGGUCCGAGUGGGCUGAUUCAGGUGUUGAUGCUUAUUCAGCUGCUUCACUGGGAACAAGUCCUAAUUAUGUCGUUCCUGGUUUGAGGGUCAUUAAUGGUUUUUUGGGCAGCCAUAUCAUUAUUCCUCUUACUCAUACUGUGGAAAAUGAAGAGGUCUUGGAAGUUCUAACCAUUACAUUCCAAAUUACAUUUGAGAAUAGUGCCACAGUAUAUGAUUCCAUCAGAAUAUUGCCACAGUAUAAUAUCCAAGCAAUUGAAGAUCAGUUUUGACCAUUGCAUUCCAAUUUAAAUUUGAGAACCAUCUCCGUGAAAUGUCACAGCAACGGCUCGACAAUAUUUUUGAAGUGUUGUGGCCUCAGUCCAACGGGUAGCAAUGGCAAUUUCUCCCUCUAGACUUUGCAACCAAUUAAGAAUGAAGCAUACUCCUGGUUCACCUGAGGAUUACACCCUGUUGUUGUGGAUUUCUCGAAGUUACUGGUAUGUAUCAUGAGCUCCACAUAAUGAAAUAGAAUUACUCAAAAUAGCAUUAUAUUUUGUUAAAACAAAACAUUUAUGUAAAAAAAAUUUAUUUAACACAAAUCAUUAAUUUUUUUUGUUGUGCGUCUUUAUUCCCUGAUUUAUGCUUGAAUACAGAAGUAUUUUAUUUAUGCUUGAAUACAGAAGCACCAAUUUGGAUUUUGUGUCAUUCUUUAUAAAGUAUGCUGUCUACUUCUCUUAUUUAUUUCUUAAUUAUUUUUAUUCCAUGAAUGAUAUUUUAUUACAAGUUUCAUACUGGAGUUGAACUCAUUAGAACCGAUACUCAUGCUGGUGAAACUCUGAAAUUCCUAUGUCACUAUCAUGAUGUAAUCAUGUGUUGUUCUCUCAAGGUAAGCUUUUUUGUUUGUUUUUUUCUUGUUCUUGAACUCAACUUUCUAACCAAGGUACCAUAUAAACUCUAAGCAUGCUUCUCCCUUGUUCACCUUCGCUAACCAAGUUGGACUUGACCUGCUUGAAACAACUCUCGUUGGCCUCCAAGACAUUUCGCUGAAGAAGAUACUUGAUGACACCAGUUGAAAAGUUCUAUGCUCUUGGUUCCCUAAGAUAAUGCAACAGGGCUUUGCCUAUCUCCCAAAUUGCAUCUACAUGUAGAGCAUGGGGUGCCUGGUGUCCUACGAGCAGGCCAUCGCUUGGAAGGUCCUACACGAAGAUCUCUUUCUAAGAUUAAUGAGCUGAAUAUAAACUAAGAUUGGCACUUGUUUUCAAUUUUGGUUUUUUUAUCUUAAUUAACAUGAAGAACCAAGCGAUGUGUUUGGUGACGAUUGUAAUAUAUUGAUUAUGUACAUAUAUGAAGAUUGAAGUAGAAUUUAUGUUGUAUUUAAGGUGGGA
Molecule: long non-coding RNA, 3203 nt
Organism: Dendrobium catenatum
Lineage: Eukaryota; Viridiplantae; Streptophyta; Magnoliopsida; Asparagales; Orchidaceae
Exons: 9
Source: RefSeq, a predicted model, not a curated record